This is a long non-coding RNA of Dreissena polymorpha, 259 nucleotides long. RefSeq lists it as uncharacterized. The record is from RefSeq and is a predicted model, not a curated record. NCBI's taxonomy places the organism in Eukaryota, Metazoa, Mollusca, Bivalvia, Myida, Dreissenidae. The transcript is spliced from 3 exons.
AGGCUGACUACGUAAAUCGCAAAGGCUACCAUUCACUCAAUGUACAGAUGGUGUGCGAUUCUGGCUAUCGUUUUCUGAACGUGGUGGCAAAGUUGCCAGGAAGUGUGCAUGAUGCCAGGAUAUUUAGAAAUUCCUUACUUUGUCAGCAUUUAGAAAACGGAACUCUUGAUGGAUGUAUCUUGGGUGACAGUGGGUACCCCAGUAGACGUAAUGUGAUGACCCCUUACUUACAAACAAGGAACAGGGCACAGGAAAGGUA